UACGUAGGGGGCUAGCGUUGUCCGGAAUCAUUGGGCGUAAAGAGCGUGUAGGCGGCCCGGUAAGUCCGCUGUGAAAGUCGGGGGCUCAACCCUCGAAUGCCGGUGGAUACUGUCGGGCUAGAGUGCGGAAGAGGCGAGUGGAAUUCCUGGUGUAGCGGUGAAAUGCGCAGAUAUCAGGAGGAACACCGAUUGCGAAGGCAGCUCGCUACACGAAUAUUGACUCUGAGGCACGAAAGCGUGGGGAUCAAACAGG
Molecule: ribosomal RNA, 253 nt
Filed under: uncultured bacterium
Lineage: Bacteria
Description: partial 16S ribosomal RNA
Rfam family: Bacterial small subunit ribosomal RNA
Source: RNAcentral